Molecule: non-coding RNA, 415 nt
Filed under: Elstera litoralis
Lineage: Bacteria; Pseudomonadati; Pseudomonadota; Alphaproteobacteria; Rhodospirillales; Rhodospirillaceae
Description: Bacterial large subunit ribosomal RNA
Rfam family: Bacterial large subunit ribosomal RNA
Source: Rfam by way of RNAcentral
GAUCAAGCGUCUUAAGGGCAUCUGGUGGAUGCCUUGGCUUCGAGAGGCGAUGAAGGACGUGGCAGGCUGCGAUAAGCUGCGGGGAGGGGCCAGCACCCUUUGAUCCGCGGAUUUCCGAAUGGGGAAACCCACCCGUAAGGGUAUCUUAUUCUGAAUUCAUAGGAAUAAGAGGCGAACCCGGGGAACUGAAACAUCUCAGUACCCGGAGGAAAGGACAUCAAUUGAGACUCCGUUAGUAGUGGCGAGCGAACGCGGACUAGGCCAGUGGUCUAUGGUUAAGAACGAAAACAGUCUGGAAAGGCUGGCCAGAGUGGGUGAUAGCCCCGUAUCGGUAGAAAUUCCAUAGAUCCUUGAGUAAGGCGGGACACGUGUAAUCCUGUCUGAACAUGGGGGGACCACCCUCCAAGCCUAAGUA